CGUAACUCAACGGAUAAAAGGUACUCCGGGGAUAACAGGCUUAUCGCGCCCAAGCGCUCAUAGCGACGGCGCGGUUUGGCACCUCGAUGUCGGCUCAACGCAUCCUGGGGCUGGAGAAGGUCCCAAGGGUUUGGCUGUUCGUCAAUUAAAGCGUUACGCGAGCUGGGUUCAGAACGUCGUGAGACAGUUCGGUCCCUAUCCGCCGUGGGCGUAGGAUAUUUGAGGAGAGCUGUCCCUAGUACGAGAGGACCGGGAUGGACGAACCUCUGGUCUACCAGUUGUUCCGCCAGGAGCAUCGCUGGGUAGCUACGUUCGGAAGGGAUAAACGCUGAAAGCAUCUAAGCGUCAAGCCCACUCCAAGACUAGAUAUCCCGUAGGGCUAACCUACCUAAAGACCCCUCGCAGACUACGAGGUUGAUAGGCUGCAGGUGGAAGCGCAGCAAUGCGUGAAGCCGAGCAGUACUAAUCGGUCGUGAGGCUUAACCUU
RNAcentral lists this ribosomal RNA (487 nucleotides) under Gemmatimonadota bacterium. Its description in RNAcentral is "bacterial LSU rRNA". It matches the Rfam family "Bacterial large subunit ribosomal RNA", at positions 2443 to 2925 of the family's 2925-position model. Lineage: Bacteria; Pseudomonadati; Gemmatimonadota. The record is from RNAcentral.